Molecule: transfer RNA, 77 nt
Filed under: bacterium
Lineage: Bacteria
Description: tRNA-Val
Rfam family: tRNA
About the family: Transfer RNA (tRNA) molecules are approximately 80 nucleotides in length.
Source: RNAcentral
GGGCGUGUAGCUCAGCUGGUUAGAGCAACUGGUUUACAUCCAGUAGGUCGGGGGGUCGAGCCCCUCCGCGCCCACCA